UACGUAGGGCGCAAGCGUUGUCCGGAAUUAUUGGGCGUAAAGAGCUCGUAGGCGGCCAGUUGCGUCCGCUGUGAAAUCCCGGGGCUUAACCCCGGGCGUGCAGUGGAUACGGGCUGGCUAGAGGCAGGCAGGGGAGAACGGAAUUCCUGGUGUAGCGGUGAAAUGCGCAGAUAUCAGGAGGAACACCGGUGGCGAAGGCGGGUCUCUGGGCCGUAACUGACGCUGAGGAGCGAAAGCGUGGGGAGCGAACAGG
RNAcentral lists this ribosomal RNA (253 nucleotides) under uncultured bacterium. RNAcentral's name for it is "partial 16S ribosomal RNA". It matches the Rfam family "Bacterial small subunit ribosomal RNA", at positions 524 to 776 of the family's 1533-position model. The record is from RNAcentral.